Molecule: ribosomal RNA, 36 nt
Filed under: Sogatella furcifera (white-backed planthopper)
Lineage: Eukaryota; Metazoa; Arthropoda; Insecta; Hemiptera; Delphacidae
Also listed under: 1 other name
Description: partial 28S ribosomal RNA
Source: RNAcentral
GACCUCAGAUCAGGCCAGAUCACCCGCCUAAUUUAA